RNAcentral lists this ribosomal RNA (232 nucleotides) under uncultured bacterium. Its description in RNAcentral is "partial 16S ribosomal RNA". It matches the Rfam family "Bacterial small subunit ribosomal RNA", at positions 85 to 334 of the family's 1533-position model. The record is from RNAcentral.
CAAUACGUAAGCGGCAGACGGGUGAGUAACGCGUGGGAACGUACCCUUCAGUUCGGAACAACCCAGGGAAACUUGGGCUAAUACCGAAUACGUCCGUAAGGAGAAAGAUUUAUCGCUGAAGGAUCGGCCCGCGUCUGAUUAGCUUGUUGGUGAGGUAACGGCUCACCAAGGCUACGAUCAGUAGCUGGUCUGAGAGGAUGAUCAGCCUCACUGGGACUGAGACACGGCCCAG